Molecule: ribosomal RNA, 198 nt
Filed under: uncultured bacterium
Lineage: Bacteria
Description: partial 16S ribosomal RNA
Rfam family: Bacterial small subunit ribosomal RNA
Source: RNAcentral
ACGCUCGACACCUACUGGAGGCAGCAGUGGGGAAUAUUGCACAAUGGGGGAAACCCUGAUGCAGCGACGCCGCGUGAAGGAAGAAGUAUCUCGGUAUGUAAACUUCUAUCAGCAGGGAAGAAAGUGACGGUACCUGACUAAGAAGCCCCGGCUAACUACGUGCCAGCAGCCGCGGUAAUCUGAGCGGGCUGGCAAGGC